CCACCGCCAAAUUCAUUUUAAGCAUUCAUUUCACCAAAGUUUUCAGAGAAAAACGUAGGAAAAAAGCUGAGAUAAGAAGUUUAAGGAGUUCAUGAAUUUUGAAGCUCCGGAAGAUCAAAUUUUUUAGAGGAUUCAUCAACUACAGCAAGCUACUGGUUUUUCAUUGAUUCCAAGCUGCACAAAGGGAGUUAGAAGUCGAGAUUGAUCAGGUGAAGGCCGAACUCUUGUUUCAUGCCCGAAUCUAGAGAGGUCUGGUGUUCUAAGUAGUUUGAAGCGUAGAAGUGGAAUCCGAAACUCAAAUUGGUCAGGAUAGAAAGCUUAUUCUUUUGCUCACAAUUUGAAUGAAGGACGUUUGAGCUGGAAAUGAUUGGAUUUAGGUGAAAUUUCAGGUGAGAGCUUGCUGGAAAUGCAAAUUGGAAGUAAUCUCGGAUUUGAGGGAAUUUUGGAAAAAUCCAUUGAGUUUUAUGUCUUCACAUCGUCAUGUAAGUUGUAGAGACUUGAAAAUAAAGAGUUGGACAUAAAUCCCAUUCAAUUUGGUUAAAAAUUGAGUAAGUUAUGAGCGGCUGAAGUUGGAGUUGUGAAUCUGAAAAUAAUUUGGAAAUUUAUGGGGAGUUUAAUUAACUA
Cucumis melo (muskmelon) is the source of this 624-nucleotide long non-coding RNA. RefSeq lists it as uncharacterized. The record is from RefSeq and is a predicted model, not a curated record. NCBI's taxonomy places the organism in Eukaryota, Viridiplantae, Streptophyta, Magnoliopsida, Cucurbitales, Cucurbitaceae. The transcript is spliced from 2 exons.